Chrysolophus pictus (golden pheasant) is the source of this 2357-nucleotide long non-coding RNA. Lineage: Eukaryota; Metazoa; Chordata; Aves; Galliformes; Phasianidae. The record is from Ensembl.
UCAGGGCAACAUUUCCUGGCAUUGCUUUAUUGACUGUUGCAGGCUUAGAGCAAGUGUGAGAGAGACCUUGAGCAGGAGGAGGAUUUGAAAUGCACUGAGUUUUGCUGGUUGGCUGCAAUGUGAGCUGAGCACGGCUGCAAGCAGCUGCUCUGGGGGGCAGUUCAAAGAAAGGAGGGGGUUUUCUUCAGCACCUGCCCUGCUUUUCAGCACUGUACCUGCUUGCUUCACUGCUCUUGCUCAGGGCUGUGCAGGCGCUGGGUGUUACAGGGCAGGGUGUUAAAGCUGUUGCUGGAUUGUGCUGAGCAGGUGAGUAAGUAGUUCUAUCAGUCAAGCUGAUUUUCAAUGUUGGGCCCACCCAAAUCAAGAAGCCCUUGAUGCUCACAGAUCAGAAACAUCACCAGUCAUGAAGGUGUAGGAGAUGAGGGCUGAGCUGUGAGGCAGUCAGAGCACAGCCCAAGGGAAAAGAGACAGGAGAAGAGGGGGGGGUGUCAGGAUUUAGAAUCCUGGGGGCAGAUUGCAGCCCUGGGCUUUUUUCCUUCCUCUUCCCUUGAAUCAUAGCACGUGUAGUAUGUCAUAAAAUGCAUUGGAAUCCCUUUCUCGAGGAAGGGAUCCAUUUUUGCACACCUCCAUUCUCUUUUCAGCAGCAUUCACUUUCCUUUGGCUGUUUCUCAGGCAGAAGCAAAGCAGCUGCAGCUUCCAGCCCUUCAGGCAUGUAGUGAUGCUUCAUCACUUAAGGGCUGCUGCCAAAGCAGGGCCCACUUCCCUUCUCCUCAAUGAGAUGCUACACAGCUCAGAAAGUCAACGACUUCUCCAAACGGCACCGAAUGAGAAGGAAAAGUGGGAGAGUGGUUUUUGCAGACAGGAUAAUAGUUGAUUAUGAACGCCCUGCGUUUCCGCUUCCCCUUUUGUGGGGGGAGAUGAAAAAUUUUUGAAUGAAAAAAAGAAAAAGCACAGAUGAAGAUCACUACUCUUUAACCUUUAAUUUCCCAUAGGCUGGUUGUAACUAUCUCACUACCAUGGUUUGGGACUCGUGGAGGCAAAGAAGGCAUCUUAGAGUGCCAAACCCUUUAUGCCCCGACAAACAGUUCUCAUCCUCCCCCACCCCAAACAGAAGUGGAGCAAAAAGUCACCAUCCUUAUUCCAGCACGGCUGGGCACAGCGCUGCUAAGUCACCAUCCUUAUUCCAGCACAGCUGGGCACAGCACUGCUAAGUCACCAUCCUUAUUCCAGCACGGCUGGGCACAGCGCUGCUCUUUCCUUCUCUGUUCAGCAGCACUUCUGCUGCUUCUAUUUGUGCAUGGCUGUGCCCACAGCUGCUUUCCAACAACUCCCCUUUGCUUCUGGCUCAGUUCUGUCACAGUUCCAGCAGCUCUGACCAAACAUCUGCAGGUGGAUCAUGGCUCGUUAGGCAGUGCUGCUAUAAAGUGUCUCAUGGGGCUUCAGCAGCUCAGUGCCACCACGGGGGAUGGAGGAGGAAGGAAGUUAUAUUAAGAGACAUCGUGAUGACUGAGAUGGGACAGUUUGCCCAUGGAGAGGAGGACGGAGUUCUGUCUUUCUUUCUCCAUACCUCCUGCUGGGGAAAAAAGCAAGCAUCGCUCCCUGCUCAUCCCUUUUCUGCCCUGGGAAGGUCCGUUGGCAGGGAGGAACUGGGCAGACCUGCAGCCCUGGGUCUGUGCAGCAGCCCGUGCUUCCUGUGCAGAUGCAUUAGAAAAGAGGGAGAGCUUUAAGAGUAUUUAAGAGUAUUUUAAAGCAGCUGCAGGCAUCACGCUUGAGUGGCAGCACUGAGCUGAACCACAGUGAGAGAGCAGAAGUUGGCAUCGAACCCAGCAGCAAGGAGAACGUGGCCACGUUUUACUAUGAGAGUUAACCAGCACUUCCUCCUCCUCAAUUCUGCUCUCUCUGCUGCAGAUCAGAGCCCUGUGCCCUUCAGGUUUGCUUAUGGUGUGAGCAAGUAACCUGUUGGUUCAUUUCCCCAAGCAGCUGCAGUGGGAUCAUGGCUCCAUGCAGUACCAAAGACAACAGCUACAACAGCUACUAGAAUCCUCAGAGACCUAUUCCAUUGGAUGCUACCUAUUUGCCAAACCUAUCUUUGUCUUACUUAGAAAUUAACAAUGUUUCCUACUCAUCACUGGUCCAUUUUUUCCUUUAGCAGUGACCGGUCCUGCAGCUGCCCUCCGCUUCCAUCCAUCAGCACGCAGUGCUGGGGUUCCCCAGGAUGCAGCUCAGCGUGGGGCUGAGCACUGAGCCACGUUCCUGUCCCAGCCGGGUGGGAGGAGACACCCCAGCCUGCUCGUGAGCUCUGUGCAAAACUAUUUUCCAGUGCAACGGUGCCCUGAGGGAAAAGGGAAAGGGCAGAA